RNAcentral lists this ribosomal RNA (147 nucleotides) under Triticum aestivum (bread wheat). RNAcentral describes it as "partial small subunit ribosomal RNA". Lineage: Eukaryota; Viridiplantae; Streptophyta; Magnoliopsida; Poales; Poaceae. The record is from RNAcentral.
AUGACCAUGCCGUGGGGGCUGGCGGCCUACAUGGUGGACAUGGUGUGGGCGGUGCUCGCCGGGUGGGUGUCGGCAUGCCAGCUGGUCGCCAACGAGAUCGCCCGCGGCAUGCGGGCCGGAGAGAUUGGCCCCUUCGUCGUGGGGUGA